This 301-nucleotide ribosomal RNA is filed under the name uncultured bacterium. RNAcentral describes it as "partial 16S ribosomal RNA". It matches the Rfam family "Bacterial small subunit ribosomal RNA", at positions 509 to 808 of the family's 1533-position model. The record is from RNAcentral.
CAGCAGCCACGGUAAUACGUAGGUCCCGAGCGUUGUCCGGAUUUAUUGGGCGUAAAGCGAGCGCAGGCUGUUAGAUAAGUCUGAAGUUAAAGGCUGUGGCUUAACCAUAGUACGCUUUGGAAACUGUUUAACUUGAGUGCAAGAGGGGAGAGUGGAAUUCCAUGUGUAGCGGUGAAAUGCGUAGAUAUAUGGAGGAACACCGGUGGCGAAAGCGGCUCUCUGGCUUGUAACUGACGCUGAGGCUCGAAAGCGUGGGGAGCAAAUGGGAUUAGAUACCCGCGUAGUCCCUGUCUCUUAUACA